GAGUUUGAUUCUGGCUCAGGAUGAACGCUGGCGGCGUGCUUAACACAUGCAAGUCGAACGAUCCAGCACUCAACUACCAACUACAUUUUCAAGAAGAAACGAAAGUGUGGUUAGUAGUUGAGUGCUGGAGAGUGGCGGACGGGUGCGUAACGUGUGGGUAAUCUGCCUUUGUCAUGGGAAUAACUGCUUGAAAGAGCAGCUAAUACCGAAUAACAUAUGCAAUAGGCAUCUAUUGGAUAUCAAAGAGAAAUCGGACAAAGAUGAGCCCGCAUCUGAUUAGCUAGUUGGUAGGGUAACAGCCUACCAAGGCAACGAUCAGUAGCCGACCUGAGAGGGUGAACGGCCACAUUGGAACUGAGACACGGUCCAAACUCCUACGGGAGGCAGCAGUGGGGAAUAUUGCACAAUGGGGGGAACCCUGAUGCAGCAACGCCGCGUGAGUGAAGAAGGCUUUCGAGUCGUAAAACUCUGUUGUAAGGGAAGAUAAUGACAGACCUAAAGAGCC
Molecule: ribosomal RNA, 505 nt
Filed under: Filifactor sp. canine oral taxon 164
Lineage: Bacteria; Bacillati; Bacillota; Clostridia; Peptostreptococcales; Filifactoraceae
Description: bacterial SSU rRNA
Rfam family: Bacterial small subunit ribosomal RNA
Source: RNAcentral